This is a long non-coding RNA of Oreochromis aureus, 1508 nucleotides long. RefSeq lists it as uncharacterized. The transcript has 4 exons. The record is from RefSeq and is a predicted model, not a curated record. NCBI's taxonomy places the organism in Eukaryota, Metazoa, Chordata, Actinopteri, Cichliformes, Cichlidae.
GUGAUGCUCGUUUUAAAUAUAUCGGGAAUUUUAACAACAAAAAUGGAACUCUCCAGUUAUCCAAUGUUACCCUGAAGGAUGAAGGCAGCUACACAUGCAUCUUCACCUUAUUUCCCAGUGGAAAUCAAAAGACUGAGAUACCUCUAAACUUGCUUGUGCCUCCUUUCACAAACGUCAAGGACAAUCUUCCCACUUUGGGCACAGAAGAGGUUUUAUUUGCUACCUGCACAGCUGCUGGCUCUAGGCCUCCUGCAGAGGUGAGGUGGCUCACUGGUGUUUUGAGAGACAAAAUGAGGACGACAACAAACUCCACACAGUAUGACAACGGCACGACUACCACAGUCAGCUCUCUAAAUUAGCUUCUCAACAUGUCCUGAAGUUCUCCAGAGGCCUGGUAACGAACUAAUCAUGUGAUUCAGGUGUGUUAACCCAGGGUGGGAUCUAAAACCUGCAGGACACCGGCACUCGAGGCCUGGAGUUGCCUACCCCUGCUCCAAAUCAUCAACAUUUGGUUCUCACUCCAUCCUGCUUUAUGUGGCAGGAUGAAUGUUAUCCCUCGGUCCAACCCACUUUCAGCCUGGCGCAUUAGGGGGCGCUAGUAUAAAUAGUGGCCAUUUGAGUGUCCCUGGAUCGCUUACCUGUGAUCUCCUUUUUGGUCACCUGACUUCCCUUUGGUGUUGCCGAGAUCAUUUGCGGGUUACUCUUCUGAAGCCUCCAUCGCGGCUGGUCGUAGCUGUAGAAGCCUCCUCUGAGCCAUUCUGCUCACGUUCUAUGACACGGCUUACUUGGAAGUGUGGGCCUUAGUUUUGCGCCACGCUACGCGAACUGAAGUGCUGCUGCUUUGCUUUGCUGUGCUUUUACCGUCUGUUCCCGUUGCGAGAUUUCUUUUCCUGCUGCUGCCAGCUUUUACAGUGGACGUCGGCGUGGACAGCGGCCAUAUGCAUGCCGGUUAUGGGAGUCAGCUGGCGUGCAUAUUGAUUGACCGUUAACUUGUAGUCGUGCAGACGGCAAGUUGGAGCAAUACGGUGAUUCCGUUUGCUCCAGAUUUUAGAGUUUUAUCCAGAUUGUAUGUUGUUUUCCUGUUUGAUUUGUAGUUUGGAUUUUUGUUACGCCACUGGUGGGAGGCCCUUUUUCUAGCUGUAGAUCACCAGUGUGGUCCUGCAGUUGGGUUAUCCCCCAGCGCUACACAUUAGUUUGUUGUGAUAUAUUAAAAUUUUCUUUGUUUCUUUUAUUCAGAUGCGGAGCGCCGACGUGGAGGAGACUAGGGUGCCUUGGUGGUGGGAUCCUUUGCGUGUACACACCUGCCUUGUUAGUUUAUUAGUGUGAGUGUGUGAUAGUGUGCUGCACUUGUGUCUUGGUGUGUUUUCUUUUUAGUUUGUUUGUGGCAUCCCUGCCCCUCCACUGGUAAGCCUCAGCUCUGAAUACUUUUUUAAGCAUAUUUGUACAUGGAUAUUUAUGAUUGUGCUUUUAUACGGUGUUUUAAAUAAUUAUUAAUAAAUUGUCAACUU